Molecule: long non-coding RNA, 1737 nt
Organism: Lotus japonicus
Lineage: Eukaryota; Viridiplantae; Streptophyta; Magnoliopsida; Fabales; Fabaceae
Exons: 4
Source: RefSeq, a predicted model, not a curated record
AUAAAUAAAUCACUCCCCCAUUCAUUUGGUUUCUCUCUGCAACGCUUACAAUAAUUCACUCACGCAGCAUUAAACGUAUCUCGAUUCCCAUCAUCAUCCCUUUCCCCAAUUCAAUUUUCCCUAACCUAAAUCAAUCAAGCGUGAUUCUUCUCCACCAUCUCCCUAGAACUGGCGAUCCAAAUCCUUGGUUUUAUUCGAUUGCAGCGCUCCUCACCCUUACCCGAGGUCGCCAUUUAUUUGAUUGGAGUCGUCCCUCACCCUUACCCAAGGCCCCCUAAUAAAGUUACUGCUAUUUGAACGUUUGAUUCUGAUACAGACAGUUUCUUUUCUAAGUGAAAUCAUGUCCAUGACGAGUAGUAUUGAUGGAUUUUUGAAGAGGUUUGACUCUUGAAGCUAGAGAUAUUCCUGGCUAAAUUUAUCAAUUGUAUAAUAACAGACGGUAAUUCGGUAAACUACCAGGAUCAAACAGUUUUGGGAUAACAUUGAUAAUGAGCAAUUUAAUUGUGGUUGAUGCUGAAGUCCUAGAAUGGUAAAAACAGUGAGUUAAUGCAGCAGUUAGUUUUUCCUAAUAUUUCAAGAAAGAUGAUGUGCUGGAGCUGACCAAAUGGUCUGUGGCUCCUUUCCCUAUUCCUGGUCAGUGGUCUGUGGCUCUGGAGAUGUGAAGAAGCUUAGUGGUUCUUUGUGGAUCAUAUAACCAUGGAAUUGCAUUUUACUUUGCACCCUUCUUUUGAAAUAAGCGCAUCCAGAUGAUGAUAAACAUGCUUAGAUUUGAAAUUGUUAGAUUUAGUUCUUGGUUAUGCUAUGUAUAUUUAUAUUUUGUCAAAUUAUAAGGUAAAAAUCCCACAGGGAUUGUAAAUGUUAAUAAUUUCAUGUUAAAACUCUUUUUUUUAAAUUAAUGCUAAAAUUUAAAACUGAUAUAAAAAUUAAUUCUUAUUUCCGUGCUUAUGUAUUUAGCAGAGAUAUUUUAUUGUACCUGUAAUACUCUUAUUAAGUAUGUGUUUUCUUCUUUAUUAUCUGUUUUACUAAUUUUGUCAUAUGAGAAGGGAGACCUGACUUUUCUUCUCCCAUAUGUUUAUGUUUUUUUUUUGAUAAGCCCCAUGUUUAUGUAAAAUGGAAGAAAUAUUUAGAAGAAUUAUAGAGAACUGGUGAAAUAAUCUUUAUUCUCACAGAUUGGUGAACUGGUUUUUUUCUCAUUUCAGAGCUUGAUUCAGAGAAAGUCAGUGUAGCAGCUCAAGAAGAAGAAGAGGAAUCUGUUCAAGAGCACUUUUCAUCCCCCUUCCACUACUAUUUUGAUUCAGAGUCAGAAUCAUUUGAUGAAAAGUGAUCUAAUCUGGGGCAACAGUGAUAAAAUUGAUGAUUCAAUUUCAUAUCAAUUCCUGGGUGGCAAAAUUUUCGGUGAAGGAUUUGAACCUGAGAUUCUGAAGCUUAUUAUGAGAGAAGAAAGACCAGAGGAUCUGGAUGAAAAGCAAUCUUCAUGUGAUAGAAAAUUUUCAGAAUUUGGAGUUCAUGGUGUGUUUAUUCUGAAGAUGAGUAUAUUGAAAUGGAACCUGGCAUGAUGCGUUUUAAGUCUUUGAAUGUGCAUGGUUUUGGUGAUGUAUCAGAACCUGAUGAGCAAGAUGAGGAUGAUUUUCAAUGUAUCAUGCUGUAUUCUUCCUGGAACCAAUACAAGAAAUACAUGUAUUUCUUAUUUUGUGGAUGUUUAAUUGAAUUGGUGUUUCAUGCUGUAUUCUUCCAUAA